AUGGAGGCCACCGCACUUGUGCUCCUCCCUCACAGCCACAGUGGCCUCACGGCCAGAGCACCGCCUUGCGUGGGUGGAAGCUCCGCGAUGAAGAGGAGCUACGUGAGGAGGAUCAAGCGGAGCUCCACGGUGCGAGGGGUCAUGGCGAGGCCACAAGAGGCGACGCUAGCUCGGGUCCCGGCGCCGGCGCCAACAAGGCCGGUGAGAGAGACGGCCGCGGCCACGACGACGACGAAGACGGUGUACCACGACACCUGGUUCGACAACCUGGCCAUCGGCUACCUCUCCCGGAAACUUCAAGAAGCUUCUGGGAUAAAGAACGGAAAACAUGGCUACCAAGGAUUAAUAGAGGCCGCUGUGGCAAUCUCCAGAAUCUUCAGGCUCGACACGCAGUGCGAGGUUGUGGCCGGCGCUCUCGAACGAGCAAUGCCAAGCUACAUCGUCACAAUGAUAAAGGUGAUGAUGCCACCUUCAAAAUUUUCCAGGGAGUACUUUGCUGCCUUCACCACCAUAUUCUUCCCUUGGCUGGUUGGACCAUGUGAGGUCAGGGAAUCUGAGGUCGAUGGAACGAGAGAGAAGAAUGUGGUGUACAUCCCCAAAUGCAGGUUUCUGGAAAGCACCAACUGUGUCGGUAUGUGCACCAACCUUUGCAAGAUCCCAUCCCAGAAGUUUAUGCAAGAUUCGCUCGGAGUUUCUGUGUACAUGUCACCCAAUUUUGAAGACAUGAGCUGCGAGAUGAUCUUUGGACAGCAACCUCCUGAAGAUGACCCAGCACUGAAGCAGCCCUGCUUCAGCACAAAAUGUAUCGCGAAGCAGGACUAUGGUGUGAGUUGCUAG
RNAcentral lists this ribosomal RNA (837 nucleotides) under Triticum aestivum (bread wheat). RNAcentral describes it as "partial small subunit ribosomal RNA". The record is from RNAcentral. Lineage: Eukaryota; Viridiplantae; Streptophyta; Magnoliopsida; Poales; Poaceae.